Molecule: long non-coding RNA, 777 nt
Organism: Acanthochromis polyacanthus (spiny chromis)
Lineage: Eukaryota; Metazoa; Chordata; Actinopteri; Pomacentridae
Exons: 2
Source: RefSeq, a predicted model, not a curated record
UCUCUCUCAUUAUUUUCUUACCUAAAGCGCGUUUUCCUAUCUUUGAAAUUCCCUCACCAUCUAAGUUUGUUAACUAUUUAUCUUUUAACAUUUUUGUAACUUAAGGAGACAUUUUGCUCGUUAUUCGUUUUAAUCUGAAGAACCGAUUCAGAACCAGCAUUUAUUUUUCUUAAUUUUGACAAUUUUUCAUCAACACCCGUUUUUCUUGGCUAAAGCCUGAGAACCAUCAUUUUUAAGCACUCAGCUGAGAACUACGGAGACCUGUUGGACCAGGUCUUUGCAUAGAACCGAUCAACCCGCGGCAGGACAUCUAGGCCACCACAACGACGACGCACCGCUCCGAACCCGCAGGUCCAGACCGUGUGCAUAAUCUGAAGGCCUCGCACGUCCCAGCCCCAUGACGGUUCACUUCAAUAACUCCAGCUGAGUUUGCUCUGAUUCCAUUCUAUGGGUGAUGUACUAACCGCUUGGUCAAUUAAUUAAUUUAAUCAAUUUAUUCUUUUACAAAUCAUUAGAAUUCUUAAUCCAAAUUACCGAUUACCUCGUCAGGUUAGCUCUGGCUAAUCCUCACCAUAUUUCCUUCUCUCUCACACCUACUUCCACAUCUCUCACACAUGCACACACACCACAGACACACUCCCACAUUCCACACAUGCACGCACACACACACGUAGUCCUGCACGCACACACACACACACAUACCAUAUCUACAUUGUAUAUAGUUCACUUGUAAUUAUUUUCAUAGAAUAGUUAAUAAAUACCUCAUUAUAGACCAAA